Long non-coding RNA from Carassius auratus (goldfish), 851 nucleotides. RefSeq lists it as uncharacterized. Lineage: Eukaryota; Metazoa; Chordata; Actinopteri; Cypriniformes; Cyprinidae. The transcript has 3 exons. The record is from RefSeq and is a predicted model, not a curated record.
GGUAGGGGAUUGAGACUGGAAGUGUACCUUUAAGGCCUAAUCACUGGCGCUGAUCAUUUGGAUCAGGUGGCGUAAGUGACGCGUCCCUUUAAAUGUGUUGCAAGACAUGAACAGAAAAACAUUAAUGCGGUGUGAGUUGAAGAGUGAGCCUCUUGGUGUAUCGUCUGUGCAAACAGGAGAAUUUCGGCUUGGUGUCUGCGUGUAUGGUAACCAGUAAAUGGUGCCAGUAGUCAAGAGUCUACAGACUAUUGCAAAAUAGUGAGUAGUGAUUCUACAUGGGGUUUGAAGUAACGAGUAACAUCGAGGAGAGUGUCCAUUAAUCAUUCAUGCCGUUUAACUUUAUUGUUAAAGAGUAUAUAGUUCUUACUGAUUUGGGCUGGUGUCAAAAGAAAUGAGGAUUGCCUUCGUCGGCCACUAGCUACUGUUUUUCCUGGGUUUAAUAAUAGUGUUUCAUUUUGUAUUUUUUUCAUAUGUGUGUCUGUUUGGCAAUUGUCAUUAUUCAACCUUUGGCCAUGGGCAUUGUGCAAUAUUUCCUCUAGGGACCGUGUCCAUCUUGCAAUGUUUACUGGUGUGAAGUGUGAAAUGCUGUGUUAAUGUACGUAUGGCCAAUUUUGUUUGAAGUGUUUCUUGCAGUGUUGGAGUGUAUGUGAACCGUACCUAUAUAUCUGACUUUAUUCACUGUAGUUUAGGCAUUGUAGAUUUUUAUAUCUUGUAACUCAUUUAUUAUGAGAUCUUUUAUUCACUGUGAUUAAUCUAUUGUAGAAUUGUUCACUGUUACCUAUGGGAAACAUCUGUCUGCUCUGAUUGCCAAUCAUUGUAUUGUCUAGUGUUUAAUAAAAUUUAGUACAUCA